RNAcentral lists this ribosomal RNA (253 nucleotides) under uncultured bacterium. RNAcentral describes it as "partial 16S ribosomal RNA". It matches the Rfam family "Bacterial small subunit ribosomal RNA", at positions 524 to 776 of the family's 1533-position model. The record is from RNAcentral.
GACGUAGGGUGCAAGCGUUGUCCGGAUUUAUUGGGCGUAAAGAGCUCGUAGGCGGCUUGUUGCGUCGACUGUGAAAACCCGCGGCUUAACCGCGGGCUUGCAGUUGAUACGGGCAGGCUAGAGUUCGGUAGGGGAGACUGGAAUUCCUGGUGUAGCGGUGAAAUGCGCAGAUAUCAGGAGGAACACCGGUGGCGAAGGCGGGUCUCUGGGCCGAUACUGACGCUGAGGUGCGAAAGCGUGGGGAGCAAACAGG